GUUUGAUCCUGGCUCAGAACGAACGCUGGCGGCAUGCCUAACACAUGCAAGUCGAACGAGACCUUCGGGUCUAGUGGCGCACGGGUGCGUAACGCGUGGGAAUCUGCCCUUGGGUUCGGAAUAACUCAGAGAAAUUUGAGCUAAUACCGAAUGAUGUCGCAAGACCAAAGAUUUAUCGCCCAAGGAUGAGCCCGCGUAGGAUUAGCUUGUUGGUGAGGUAGAAGCUCACCAAGGCGACGAUCCUUAGCUGGUCUGAGAGGAUGAUCAGCCACACUGGGACUGAGACACGGCCCAGACUCCUACGGGAGGCAGCAGUGGGGAAUAUUGGACAAUGGGCGAAAGCCUGAUCCAGCAAUGCCGCGUGAGUGAUGAAGGCCUUAGGGUUGUAAAGCUCUUUUACCAGGGAUGAUAAUGACAGUACCUGGAGAAUAAGCUCCGGCUAACUCCGUG
Molecule: ribosomal RNA, 450 nt
Filed under: uncultured bacterium
Lineage: Bacteria
Description: bacterial SSU rRNA
Rfam family: Bacterial small subunit ribosomal RNA
Source: RNAcentral